This 464-nucleotide ribosomal RNA is filed under the name uncultured bacterium. RNAcentral describes it as "partial 16S ribosomal RNA". It matches the Rfam family "Bacterial small subunit ribosomal RNA", at positions 28 to 507 of the family's 1533-position model. The record is from RNAcentral.
GACGAACGCUGGCGGCGUGCUUAACACAUGCAAGUCGAACGGAAAGGCCCUGCUUGCUGGGUGCUCGCGUGGCGAACGGGUGAGUGACACACGGGUGUUAUGCCCCCUACUUCGGGAUAAGCCUGGGAAACUGGGUCUAUUACCGGAGAUGGCAAUCCCUUAUUGACGGUUGUGGAAAGUUUUUUCGGUUAGGGAUGAGCUCGCGGCCUAUCAGCUUGUUGGUGGGGUAAUGGCCUACCAAGGCGUCGACGGGUAGCCGGCCUGAGAGGGUGGACGGCCACAUUGGGACUGAGAUACGGCCCAGACUCCUACGGGAGGCAGCAGUGGGGAAUAUUGCACAAUGGGCGCAAGCCUGAUGCAGCGACGCCGCGUGGGGGAUGACGGCCUUCGGGUUGUAAACCGCUUUCGACAGGGACGAAGCUUUGGUGACGGUACCCGGAUAAGAAGCACCGGCUAACUACGUG